Molecule: long non-coding RNA, 443 nt
Filed under: Dasypus novemcinctus (nine-banded armadillo)
Lineage: Eukaryota; Metazoa; Chordata; Mammalia; Cingulata; Dasypodidae
Description: lncRNA (ENSDNOG00000050721.1)
Source: RNAcentral
AUGCGCGUGACGGCCUGUGGGAUGUGGGAUUCGUGCUCACCAAGGAGGACCCCACUGCGGUCAGGGACAUGCUGCCGGACUGUAAGGUCAUUAUUGUCCUUUUGGGGUCACCUUUCCUGCACUGAGAUCCGAAAGUUGCCUCUAGGCCGGAAAGACUGCACUGAGAUCUGGCAAGUGCCUGUCAGCAGAAAGUGGGGUAAAUAUCUGACUCAUCUCAUUUGUUUUCUUUCUGAGGCUUUAUCCUUCUAUACCACUUGUGGCCCAGUGCCCCUUACCCUUACUUCAAUAUGUAUUUUAAAUAUAUUUUUCCAGUUUUCUACUUAUUUGGGGUGGGAGUAUAAAUCAGUUCUACUUAUUUCAUCACGUUAGAAGGGAAGUCUUACCUACCACUUCAUUUUCAAAACUUCUUUCCCCCUAACAUUAGCCUGAAGUGCCUACCUGUG